GUUCUAUUUCCUCCGUCCGAAAAAGCUUGUCUCAAUCUUGAGCCUCAAAUGGAUGUAUCUAGCCACAUCUAGCAUUAACUUGAUGGUAGAUACAUCUAUUUAAGGGACAAGCUUUUUCGGACGAAGGGGGUAUAUC
Molecule: non-coding RNA, 136 nt
Organism: Triticum urartu
Lineage: Eukaryota; Viridiplantae; Streptophyta; Magnoliopsida; Poales; Poaceae
Source: Rfam